Non-coding RNA from Cinara cedri, 216 nucleotides. The record is from the annotation of a GenBank genome assembly. Lineage: Eukaryota; Metazoa; Arthropoda; Insecta; Hemiptera; Aphididae.
AGGGCGUAAACCUAACGUAUUCUAUAUUUUUAGUAACCGUGGUAACUAUAUGUAUACAUUUUGACCUAAUUGUCAGUAAUAGUCAUUUAACGUUCACUCCAAGGUAUUUAUAGUUGAUUGAUUUUUCAAACACAAAAUUAUCAAUCACCAUCGGUGUUGUCUACUAAUUUUAGAUUCUAAAAGAAGCGAGGAACGUAUAUUGGUUUUACUAUCAUG